GACGAACGCUGGCUGCGUGCUUAACACAUGCAAGUCGAACGGAAAGGCCCUGCUUUUGUGGGGUGCUCGAGUGGCGAACGGGUGAGUAGCACGUGAGUAACCUGCCCUUGACUUUGGGAUAACUUCAGGAAACUGGGGCUAAUACCGGAUAGGAGCUCCUGCUGCAUGGUGUGGGUUGGAAAGUUUCGGCGGUUGGGGAUGGACUCGCGGCUUAUCAGCUUGUUGGUGGGGUAGUGGCUUACCAAGGCUUUGACGGGUAGCCGGCCUGAGAGGGUGACCGGCCACAUUGGGACUGAGAUACGGCCCAGACUCCUACGGGAGGCAGCAGUGGGGAAUAUUGCACAAUGGGCGGAAGCCUGAUGCAGCAACGCCGCGUGCGGGAUGACGGCCUUCGGGUUGUAAACCGCUUUCGCCUGUGACGAAGCGUGAGUGACGGUAAUGGGUAAAGAAGCACCGGCUAACUACGUG
Molecule: ribosomal RNA, 468 nt
Filed under: uncultured bacterium
Lineage: Bacteria
Description: partial 16S ribosomal RNA
Rfam family: Bacterial small subunit ribosomal RNA
Source: RNAcentral